UACGAAGGGGGCCAGCGUUGCUCGGAAUCACUGGGCGUAAAGGGCGCGUAGGCGGCCAUUUAAGUCGGGGGUGAAAGCCUGUGGCUCAACCACAGAAUUGCCUUCGAUACUGGAUGGCUUGAGUUCGGUAGAGGUUGGUGGAACUGCGAGUGUAGAGGUGAAAUUCGUAGAUAUUCGCAAGAACACCGGUGGCGAAGGCGGCCAACUGAACCGACACUGACGCUGAGGCGCGAAAGCGUGGGGAGCAAACAGG
Molecule: ribosomal RNA, 253 nt
Filed under: uncultured bacterium
Lineage: Bacteria
Description: partial 16S ribosomal RNA
Rfam family: Bacterial small subunit ribosomal RNA
Source: RNAcentral